This is a long non-coding RNA of Lolium perenne, 648 nucleotides long. RefSeq lists it as uncharacterized. The record is from RefSeq and is a predicted model, not a curated record. NCBI's taxonomy places the organism in Eukaryota, Viridiplantae, Streptophyta, Magnoliopsida, Poales, Poaceae.
UCCAAUUUCUUCAUCUGAUGGUGGAUUUGUAGUUGAUGCCACCAUUUUAGGAGGAAUUGCCAGCCACGCGAGGGGUGAGCAGUGGCACUGGCAUAUCCCUCCUUUGGACUCCAUCUCAAGAUCCAGUCCUGAAUUGAGAUAGUUUUAACAGAGUGUAUUUAAUAUGGAGUCUGGACAGAAUAAGUCAAAUACUCGGGUCAAGAAGGAGAUGGACGAGCUGAUUGACUUGGGCUGUUCAGAGCCUUUCUAACCACAAUGACAGGAUGUAGUGUCCAUGAAGGGUCUUUGACGUUGAGCUGAAAGUGCUGUGGUGAUUAUGUGAGGGAUUUUUUCCGGUGAGCAGGCCUGGCACAUUUUAGGUCUAUUUUCAGUACUUAUGAGUGGUCAUGGGUGUCUAUACAUAUUUUAUUUAUUAAUUACUGUACUUAUAUCAAUAAUUGGAUACUUGAGAAUAAAUUUCAAAUGGUAGAAGUUAGAACACCAAUCAGGCAAUCAUCAUUAUGAUCACUGUCAAGCUCGGAGGGUGCCAUUUCUAUUGUAUAAUAGCAACUAUUCAUUUUGUAUGGCUUGCAGCUGCAUGUGUAAUCUCGUUGAGAAGGGUAUUCUUAAGUGCCAACCAAACUGACCUCAGCUGCCUUCUCGUUGAGG